AUUGAACGCUGGCGGCAUGCCUUACACAUGCAAGUCGAACGGCAGCACGGGAGCAAUCCUGGUGGCGAGUGGCGAACGGGUGAGUAAUAUAUCGGAACGUGCCCAGUCGUGGGGAUAACGUAGCGAAAGCUACGCUAAUACCGCAUACGAUCUAUGGAUGAAAGCGGGGGAUCGCAAGACCUCGCGCGAUUGGAGCGGCCGAUAUCAGAUUAGGUAGUUGGUGAGGUAAAGGCUCGCCAAGCCGACGAUCUGUAGCUGGUCUGAGAGGACGACCAGCCACACUGGGACUGAGACACGGCCCAGACUCCUACGGGAGGCAGCAGUGGGGAAUUUUUGGACAAUGGGCGGCAAGCCUGAUCCAGCAAUGCCGCGUGCAGGAUGAAGGCCU
Molecule: ribosomal RNA, 388 nt
Filed under: uncultured bacterium
Lineage: Bacteria
Description: bacterial SSU rRNA
Rfam family: Bacterial small subunit ribosomal RNA
Source: RNAcentral